GCAAGUGGGUGUCCGGUCAAACAAGAGAUCACCAUGAGCACGUGGCUCAUCAAUUUAUAAGUUGGUAGACUUCUUUCAUCAUCAACAAUGUUGAUCAGUGGAUCUAGUUGCUCAAUAAUCCCUGACAAUAAAUGACAGUAUAAGUACGACCGUAUAAUGAAUAAAUCAAAUUGACAAAGUUUGUCAAGGUAACAUAUUGUACUAUGGGCCUUCUAUAAAUAAAUAAUUUAUUAUGUUGUGUGAUAAAUCACAUGUCGUAUAAGUGACAUAGUUUAAAGGCAAUCAUAUGUCACUAGGUAAUGAAUAAAUAUUGCACAAUGUGUAGCCUGUAAUGAUGUUCCUAGUGUGUGUGAUGCAGACAUCAAAUAAUAAAAUAAUAUAAAAACAUCGUGCGGACUAGCCUGUAUAUUUUCGACUGCCAACUCACCUCCACUUUCAGCAAAUAAAAUAAAAAAAGAAAAGUAAAGAUAUCAUUAUGCUGUUUGUGGGGAAGAUUUAAAGCAAGAGUUGGGAUAUAUUCACUUUAAGUGAAGAUACUCAAUCCGUGGAGAUAAGCUCCACUUUCAACUUUAUUACUCCAUUAGCAAUAGUGAAAGCUUUCGUGAAGUGUUAGCAAUCAUGUAAUAAAUAAUAUAAAAUAAUAAUAAGAUAUUUAAAUAAACAGAAAUAAUUUGUACGUGAAGUGUCAGCAAUCAUGUAGGAGAUGGAGUGCUUAUCCAACAGAAAUAAUAUAAAAUAUGUAAUAGGCAUCUUCACCGAGCAAAUAUGUAAUAAAUAAUAUAAAAUAAUAAUAAGAUAUUUAAAUAAACAGAAAUAAUUUGUAGAAGAUGGAGUGCUUAUCUUAUCCGAUGGAUUGUUGUCGGAGACUGCACCUUUCCUGCUGAGAAAUUGAAGCUCUUCCAUAAGUAACAACAAUC
RNAcentral lists this long non-coding RNA (917 nucleotides) under Malus domestica (apple). Its description in RNAcentral is "long non-coding RNA (MDOM_LNC003458)". Lineage: Eukaryota; Viridiplantae; Streptophyta; Magnoliopsida; Rosales; Rosaceae. The record is from RNAcentral.